Molecule: ribosomal RNA, 257 nt
Filed under: uncultured bacterium
Lineage: Bacteria
Description: partial 16S ribosomal RNA
Rfam family: Bacterial small subunit ribosomal RNA
Source: RNAcentral
UUAAGCCUACGGGGCGCAGCAGUGAGGAAUAUUGGUCAAUGGGCGAGAGCCUGAACCAGCCAAGUCGCGUGAGGGAAGACGGUCCUAUGGAUUGUAAACCUCUUUUGCCGGGGAGCAAAAAGCGGUACGUGUACCGCAUCGAGAGUACCCGGAGAAAAAGCAUCGGCUAACUCCGUGCCAGCAGCCGCGGUAAUACGUAGGUGGCAAGCGUUGUCCGGAUUUAUUGGGCGUAAAGCGAGUGCAGGCGGUUCAAUAAG